AAUAAAGCUAUACUUAUAUCUGCAAUUCCUGGGAAAAUAAACAGAUUUCCAAGGAUUAUAAACUAGAUAAGUAUACAUUAUGAUAUUAUAAAUUAAUAGAAAAAUUCAUAAACUUAAACAUAUUAACAAGCAUCUCUUAAUAGAAAGCUACAUAUAAACAAACAUACAAACACAGACACAGACACAUACACACUCUAGACACCAUUUCCCAGCUGCUCAGGGCAAGAGAAUGAGGCCAAAGCUAACCCCUACAACUUAGAGGUCAGCUCUACAGCUUGUGCCAGUGUUUGUGGGUUGCUUCAUGCUCUUAAAUGAAAGAAACUAGAAAUACUUAAGAAGUGUAAACUUCUUGGUACCAGCCAUUUCCUCCAUAGUUGUUUUUUUGAUCAUUACAACUCAAAAACACAUGAAAAUUAUGACAGUUCAUGUUUAAAUUCAGAAAUGGGCAUUCUAUUUUUUUGAAACAAAAACGCCUGUUCAGUUGUCUUCUACAUACACUGUAUUUACUUAGUUUUUAAAGUAUAGUUAUUUUACAAAUGACAUGUUAGUUUCAGAUAUGCAGCACAGUGAUUUAGUUAUAUGUAUAUUUUAUAUAUAUAUUAUUUUUCAGAUUUGUUCCCCUUAUAAGUUAUUAUGAAAUAUUGAGUAUAGUUCCCUGUGCUAUGCAGUAGGUGCUUGUUGGUUAUCCGUUUUAUAUAUAGUAGUUUGUAUAUGUCCAUCUCAAACUCCUAAUUUAUCCCUCCACCACCACAUUUCCCCUUUGGUAACUAUAAGUUUGUUUUCUAUAUCUGUGGGUCUACUUCUGUUUUGUAAAUAAGUUCAUUUGUAUCUUUUUUUAGAUUCCACAUAUAAAUGAUAUCAAAUGAUAUUUGUCUUUGAACUUACUUCACUCAGUAUGAUGAUCUCUAGUCCCACACAUGCUGCUGCAAAUGGCAUUAUUUCAUUCUUUUUUGUGACUAAGUAAUAUUCCACUGUGUGUGUGUAUGUGUGUGUGUGUGUCUUCUUUACCCAUUUCUCUGUUGAUGGACAUUCAUUAGGUUGCUUUCAUGACUUGGUUAUUGUAAAUAGUGCUUCAGUAAACAUAGGGGUGCAUGUAUCUUUUCAAAUUAUAGUUUUCUCUAGAUGUAUGCCCAGGAGUGGGAUUGCUGGAUCAUAUACUGAUUUUAUCUAUAGUUUUUUUAAGGAACCUCCAUACUAUUCUCUACAGUGGCUGCACCGAUUUACAUUUCACCAACAGUAUAGGAUGGUUCCCUUUUUUCCACAUCCUCUCCAGCAUUUAUUGUUUGUUAACUUCUUGAUGAUGGCUAUUCUGACCGGAAUGAGGUGGUUAAAUACUUCAAUGCAGAGGGCUUUGGUGAGGCUAAUCUUUAUUUUGGUGGGAUAGAAAUUUUAAGCUUUUUCCAAAAAGGUUUUUUACUGUCCACUGAAUGCUUGAAAAGAAAUAAAGACUGGGAGGAAGUGCAUCGAAUUAUUCAGGAACAAGUGAAAACAACCUUCUCUUCUUGCAGGCAUCCUGGGCUCCUAAGAAAUGGUGCAGUGAGCCCUUCCAACUUGCAUGCCCUCUCAGUGCUCUGAAUUCUCCUGUAAUAGAACAUCUUCUUUAGGAAGACUCUGCCAUCUUGAUUUGCUCUGUAUCUUCACACAUGAUGUAAAAUCCAGGCAGACUGCCUCACUUGAAUUCUAAGAUAUGCCACUCACAAACCAGCAAAAGAAAGCUGUUGUGGGACCACUAAAAGACAAGACAAUCUGCCAGGAAGCUGCAAGCAGUGGUUACCAUAAAUUCUCACUUCGCAGAAACCAUGGCAGAGGAUGGGAGGCAGUGGUGCCAACCACGGUGUCCUCCAGCCCACCCAUCUCACUCCCCAAAGCCAGGAGCUGCUUCUAGGAGAGCAGAAACAGUGUAAUGGCAUUCCAAUUUUGCCAGAAUAUGUCUGAAAGAUGGCAAACUGGGUGGAGAGUAAAAGAAGAAACCAAGAGGUAAAAGAAAAUUAGGACCAUUAUUUUUUAACAUGAUUAAUAAUAUCUAAUUUGAAAUUACAGAAGGGACUGGUUUAUUUUGGUUUGGGAUUGUUGGUUGGUUGUUUUCUGAAUUAUACCACAAUCACAUUUUUAAGCCAGACCAUUGCUUACACAUUUUACUACUUUAUGCAAUUUUCAGCAUAUUGUAUUAACUUCUAAUGCUUUCUAGUACUUUUUUAAGCAUAUUUUGUCUUUUUUUUUUUAGGGCCACACCCACAGCAUAUAGAAGUUUCCAGGCUAGGGGCAGAUCCGAGCUGCAUCUGCAACCUACACCAAAGCUCAUGGCAACACUGGACCAUUUAACCCACUGAACAAGGCCACAGAUUAAAACUACAUCCUCAUGGAUACUAGUGAGACUUGUUACUGCUGAGUGAUGAUGGGAACUCCACUUUUCUAAGCAUAUUAUAUUGAAUUCUAAUCAGAGUAAAAUGAUAUAACAUAUUGCCUAUCAUGGUCUGUAUCAAGAGUGUCAGAGAUGUUUACCACAAUGGUUUCUAACUUAAGGUUAUCUUCUUUUAACAACUAACUUAAAGUAUAACAAAGCAGCAGCAUUUUGUAGACAUGCAAAAUUCUACAUCUGAUACAAUAGAUUUUUACCAAGUUGAAUAUUCUGAUAAAAAUUUGGAAGCAUUAAAAGUGUUAUAAGGCCUUUGGCACUCAAUCGAAAGAUGGAGUAUGGUUAAACUCUAGGCAAUUUGCUAGCAUGAUAUAAUUUGAGGGCUGCUGGACUUGUCCUCCAUCAGAAUAAAUCUCCUUCCCUGGGAAGCCUGGAAUGACAUCACCAUCAUUCUAUUCCUUUGGGUUAAAUGAUACCUGCUCCACAUGUCUGCUUUUAAGAUGCAGAUACCCAGCUGAGAAGGCCGGAAGUGACAUCUCCAACUCAGUAAUGUAAAUGAGAGAUGUGAGGGCACUGCUUCUGGAAUGAGAGCGAUUUGCGGGGAAGAAGGAAGCAGGGCUCAACCCCGACAAGCAUUAAGAUUCAUUAAGAUUCACUGGGUGUGAAUCAUGCCCACCCUUAUACUUAAGAGUUAUUCUCAAAUCCUUGGCAUAAAAUGGCAAUGCGGCCAGAGCUACCCUCAUCCUGGGCUAAUAGCCGGGGCGCUGUUGUGGGCAAGGAAAGCAUAUGCUUACCUGCAACAUCCUGCAGUAAGCCUUUAAGGGUCAUUUUUGGGUCUGUCUAGACAUAACUUUGAAGAUUUUUUUUGGUAGUAUUUGAUAUUUUUGGUAGCAAUGGUAUACUCAAGUUCAGAUUCGACUUUAAAGCCACUCUCUCUUUUUUGAAACUGAUGUCCAUCUCUUCACAGCUAUUUUCAGAUGAAAACAGGACCAUGGUCUCCUCACUGACAAUGAUUUUCCCAAUCCCUGACUCCAGCUACUAUACUCUAAAACCAAGAAGCUUUUAGUCAAUUGUCUUUGUAAUCUGCCCUAGAAUUGCUGUUUCGCUCUUAGCAAUGCCCUCUUAACAGAAAGCAUUUUAGAAGAGAGAAAAGUUAACUUUUUUGAACCCAUGUUUAAAGUUACACCCUCCCUAAAAUUCCUGAAACAGUUAACAGGUAGAUUAUAACACACUGAAGGGUGCAUUUUUUUCUGUGACACUGCCCUGAAUGGAUUCUUGCAAAUUCAGAUGCAGCCAUCUCUCCCAGCCUCCCAUCCCAUCACCUCAGCAACAGAAACCCUCGGAUGCCCUGGUCACUCCUCCGCAGCUUUGACGAGAGCACAUUCCCCAUGGGUGGUCUGGCUUUUACAAGUGUUUGGGCACAAAUACAUUAAUGUGAUCUCUUUUAAGCAGCUGAUUCUACUAUGCUUCCAUGGAAAAAUCAUCACACCAGUUCUCUGCUUUCUAAUAUACUUUCCUUAAAAUUGAGCAAUUCCAAAUACUGCACAAUUUCAUAUCAUUGCUGAUUCCUGGAUUCCCAUCGCCCUUAUGCCAUUCAGUCAAAAGCAUAUGCAUUGUAUUCAUGUUUUCAGCUCUGCUGUGCUCGGAGCAUCUCCAUGCUUUGCUGCACUGCAAUGAUAUUUAGUGUCCUGUCAGUUCCCCCAGUGGCAAGGAGUGAAACCAAACGGUUUGCUACUUAAUCGGCACAAACUGUGAACACUUACAAAAGAGACACAGGAAGGGCUGAUCCUGACUACAAAUAUCAAAAUGCUUUCCAAAUAGGUAAAAUUGCCUUGGCCUAUUGACAAGCAAAAUGUGCCCUUAACUUUUCAUUCUAAUUGAAAAGAUAAAACAAUCAUAUUUCAAGAAUCAGCUUUCUAUUGAUAAAUGCAAAUGAAGUUAAUUUAGAUGAGACACUGGGCACUUUUUCUCCCAUGACAGAAACAGGUUAUAUGAGAAAAAGGUUGUCCAGAGUCCCAGGAAGUAUUAAAAUAUUUUCUUCGUGAUUGGAAGGAAACCUUAUUUGCAACAGCUGUAACCUGAAGGCGAAAAUGCCUAAUUCACUCGUAGAUUAUUAAAAAGCAGCAGGACGUACUCAAAAUGAAAGGCCCUUAGUUCUUCAGAUUGAGGUGACUAGUUAAGGAGCAAAACAGCAGGACUUUUCAAGGGUUCUUUUUGAGGUCUGAGUUCUAAGAAAGUUGCAAAGGCUUCGUAAAGUUCCAGUGGCUCAGGAAAGAAGCUACCAAAUUAAAUUGAUUGCUUUUAAAAGAAGGGAAAGAAGAGAGAGUGAACAGUGAAUUAUUCACAAGGGCCCCCAUUAAUGAAAAUGUGUGUGUGUGUGUGUGUGUGUGUGUGUGUGUGUGUGUGUGUGUGUAACUGAUUUUCACAAAACACAAAUAUGUGGGUCAUUGCAAAAGCACAUCUAAAAUGAAGGGCAAGGGGGACACAAAGAUCCAUUUUAGACAGCUAUCCACCAACUCUUAAACUUCCGGACUCUUAUCAAAAAAGAGCCCACCCACCUCCUGUUUCAUGACUAUACAUUUGUUUCAGUCUCUACCUCCUUGUUCAGGCAGACAUCCUUUUUUCCUCCUUUGUUCUGUCCAACUGUUUUACUCUUUUUUUCUGCUCCUUGUAACCUCUGUCAUUUUUCAGCAGACUCUUGCUCUGUGCCAUGACCUUGCCCAUGUUCUUUCAGGUCAGAGCUCCUUGAACUUCUCCCUGACCCUGACUCUUGUUCCAGCUUCAUUCUUGUCCUAGAGCUGUUUGCCAGAGGGUUUCCUGGCAGCCUUCUGGGGUGGGUGUGGGGGGAGCAGUUGCAGUGUCAGCAUGACUAAACAACCCAAUCAGGGCACAUAAGCUCCUUAUUGACAGAAUCUUCCCAGAGGUGGAAAGCAUGAGUCAAUUUUGAACUUGAAAAUUUUGCAUGGUUUCCAAAUGUCCUGAAUGUAUUCUCCUGUUUCAUGUGAUUAUCACUUUGCAGCAUGCUGCUGGCUACCUAAAUCCCAUGCAAAUCGCUUGGAAGAUGUAGGCUUGGUAAAAAAUACUGUCCCACGUGUACAAUUAGAACCAAGCUUUAUUCCCUACAAAUCUAGCUCUAAGCAAUGAAAAAGGGAGGUUAUUAUUAUUUUUAAUAUUAAUAGCAACUAUUAACUGUUAAUUUAGCCUAAAUCAUCUGCAAGGGAAAUCUGUGCUGCUUGCUUGUUAGUUGAGUGGAGUGCAUGAUAAUAUUCUGUUGUGUGCUAUGUGGCAUACUCUGUUGCUAGGUUACCCAGAGCAUCAGGAAUUCAGGGAACAAUGUACUUAUAUCUUUUUCAAUUUUGAAAAAUAAAAUAGGUAUUGACAUAAAAUACAGUGUGGCACUGAAGUAAUUUUGUAGUGGAGAGAUCAGAGGAAGGGGGCCUUUCAUCUCGGUGACAGCAGUUUACUCCUCGUUGUGACUUACUGAGGGCAGUGGCAGGACAGCACAACAGGACAUCAGUCUCUGGAAGAAUGCUUGUGGU
This 5895-nucleotide long non-coding RNA is filed under the name Sus scrofa (pig). Its description in RNAcentral is "lncRNA (ENSSSCG00000061590.1, ENSSSCG00180022903.1)". The record is from RNAcentral. Lineage: Eukaryota; Metazoa; Chordata; Mammalia; Artiodactyla; Suidae.